RNAcentral lists this ribosomal RNA (247 nucleotides) under uncultured Hyphopichia. RNAcentral's name for it is "partial 26S ribosomal RNA". Lineage: Eukaryota; Fungi; Ascomycota; Pichiomycetes; Serinales; Debaryomycetaceae. The record is from RNAcentral.
UAUUCCCAAACAACUCGACUCUUCGACUGCAUUUUACAUGAAGCAGUGAACACAUCGCACGGGAUUCUCACCCUCUGUGACGUCCUGUUCCAAGGAACUUCGACAUGUGCUUACUUCAAAAUACGUCUUCAAAUUACAACUCGCAGCCUGAAAGACUGAGAUUCCAAAUUUGAGCUUUUGCCGCUUCACUCGCCGUUACUGAGGCAAUCCCUGUUGGUUUCUUUUCCUCCGCGCUUAUUGAUAUGCA